GCCAGGCAUGGUGGCGCAUGCCUGUAAUCCCAGCAACUGGGGAGGCUGAGACAGGAGGACACAAGUUUGAGGCUAGCCUCAGCAUAAGUGAGGUUCUAUCUCAA
RNAcentral lists this small RNA (104 nucleotides) under Marmota monax (woodchuck). The record is from RNAcentral. Lineage: Eukaryota; Metazoa; Chordata; Mammalia; Rodentia; Sciuridae.